UCGGCUUUUGUUGAAUUAAUGAUAUAAUUUUUAAGAAUUGACGUUGAGUCGAGUGUUGGAAAUCUCGAGGAAACGACUAAGAAUACGGGUG
Molecule: long non-coding RNA, 91 nt
Organism: Aricia agestis (brown argus)
Lineage: Eukaryota; Metazoa; Arthropoda; Insecta; Lepidoptera; Lycaenidae
Exons: 3
Source: RefSeq, a predicted model, not a curated record